UACGGAGGAUGCAAGCGUUAUCCGGAUUUAUUGGGUUUAAAGGGUGCGCAGGCGGACUAAUAAGUCAGUGGUGAAAUUUACAUGCUUAACAUGUAUCGUGCCAUUGAUACUGUUAGACUAGUAUACAAAUGACGUAGCUGGAAUGUGUUAUGUAGCGGUGAAAUGCAUAGAUAUAACACAGAACACCGAUCGUGAAGACAGGUUACGAAUUUGUUAUAGACGCUCAGGCACGAAAGCGUGGGGAUCAAACAGGAUUAGAUACCCUGGUAGUCCACGCUGUAAACGAUGAUAACUUGUUGUUGGGCACAUAGUGCUCAGUGGCUAAGCGAAAGCGAUAAGUUAUCCACCUGGGGAGUACGAUCGCAAGGUUGAA
This 373-nucleotide ribosomal RNA is filed under the name uncultured bacterium. RNAcentral's name for it is "bacterial SSU rRNA". It matches the Rfam family "Bacterial small subunit ribosomal RNA", at positions 524 to 898 of the family's 1533-position model. The record is from RNAcentral.